This is a non-coding RNA of Lolium perenne, 2318 nucleotides long. The record is from RefSeq and is a predicted model, not a curated record. Lineage: Eukaryota; Viridiplantae; Streptophyta; Magnoliopsida; Poales; Poaceae.
GGGGCGAAGGGAGCGUGGGAGACGCACUGCAAGGUGCGGCCGAGGGCGGAGCUUGAAGGGCGCUGGUCGGGGCCGGGCGUGGCGCGGUUGGGGCGCAGGGCACGGGAGCCGCUGGGGCGAGCGGGCGGUCCCGGGUCGCGGGUCACGGGGCGCGGCGGCACGGACACGCAAAGGCGGGAGCCGACGCCAGGGGUACUUGGUUUCUGCUGUCCUCCCCCUUGCUUGUUUGGUGGUGGCCGGCCGUUUAUGCUCUGCUGGGUUGGUGAUGCUGAGUGCAGAGCUGCAAUUCAUCUUCUUUUCCUCUAGACCGUGCUGAUGUAAAAGAGUUCUGUAUAGCUGUCAUUCUACUUCUAAAGACCGCUAGGAUACCAGGCCAUACGAGACACUUGCGGAGGCAAAUUCAUCCAGACAGAUUGUAGAUAGUUGGAUUCAAGAGUCAGAGGAUUAGUGCUUUUGGUGAUCCAAUUUGGCAAGAACACGAAGAAGGCUGAGUUGGUGAUGGCCCCUUAUGAGAGUGGCACUGGUAACGGGAAGCUUCUAUGACGUUGAAGAGGCUGCUGAGCAACCCACAGCUGCCUCCUCUCUUCCUCCCAAUCGGAAUGGAGCGGCAGCAAGCUGGGUAGGACGGCCCCUCAAGUGAAGAACCGGUUGGAAGCGGCGACAGCUCCCGCUGUUGGAAGCGACGGGGGUGACUGGACGCGGCCGAGCGGCAGCAUGCGGUUUGCUUCUCCCUCCCCUCCCUCGCUCUUCCUCUUUACAUGUCUCUCUCAGCUCUCUCUUUUUAGCUGCAGGGAAUGGUGGCUGGGGAACACACUAACGGGUCCAUGGGGCAGGUCGCAGGCUCGCAUCCAGCCUCGAAUUCAUGGGAGCCCUGCUCCAGCGUGAAGGGCAGGAUUGGAUACAACAUGGUCAUUUAGGAUGGCGUCAACACGGAGAGUGGUGGCGGCGCGACGCCUCGAGCUCGAGAAGUCGUCCAUAGCUGGCCUGGGAUCGAGAUCUGGCAGACCGCUCGGCCCCGGCAAUGUCCACGGCGCUGCGAACCCCGGUCGGAACACAUCAGCCUGUUCUCAUUUAACUCCCCUCGCUGGUUGAGCUUCUCUUUAUCAUUUCAUCCUGAAUUUUUUACUCAAAUAUGUCUUGUUUUGGAUGAUUGCUGGGCCGAAUAUAACAGGGAUCAUAAGGUGUGGGGAUAAACUUGACACAAAUCAAUUGCUUAUAUCAUUUUCAGUAGAGAGCAAAUGUGAAAGUAUAUUUUUACAGGAUUCAAUAAAUCCAUUUAAUCUUGCUAUACAUCAAUAGAUUCAUGUUAACUGCUACGUUGUGCAAAAUAAAUCAUGUGCGUGUGCGUGCACGUGCAUAAAUCUGCUCUCCUGAAAGUGAUGAAAUAUCUUUUUUUUCUUGCAGCCUUCCGCUGAUUACCAGGAUUUUGAACUCAUAAAGCUUCUUUGCAUAUUCAUUAUGAUUUUUGUGGUGUGGCGGGAAUGGGUAUUGUACGAGUACGAGCCAAAGUUGUGCAGGAUACUUUAGAACGGAACCAGGACAUCAACUGUCAAGUGGUUUGGUGCUAAGGGUGACUACAAUGUUCUUGUUAUGUCCGUGUUGGGGCCAAGCCUAGAAGACCUUUUCAGCUCUUGCAACAGAAAUCUGUGGCUCAAAACUUUGGUUAUGCUUGCUGAUCAACUGGUAUGCUCUACAACUAAGCUUAGUUAUUCUUUGCCAUUUUGUUUUUAUUUGUUAAAUUGCAGAGAGAGCGGUCAUUUAGCCUGGACAGCUUGAUGUGAGGGUGUAACUGCUUGCUUCUCUCCCAGAUAAGUUUCCUGAAGAUUUGUUAGUUGUGCAUUUACAGAUUUAUUUCUAGGCCUCCAGGGUAUCAUGUUGUUGUACGAGCAGGUGAUUCUGAAAGUAGUGCACCCGAAUGUUCCUCCAUGAAUGGAUUUUAGCUGAUGCUUUUGUUGUGUAUGGAGAAGUUUUGAAGUUUAUGUAGGCCUUUUGUACACUUAGGCACAAUGUUCAGACAUGUGCUACUGAUUUCAAAGUAGAAAUAAACGUUUGCUUAAUUACAUACUUGCUUAUGGAACCUAGCUUUACAUAUGUAAGGCUACUCCUGUGUAACUUGGGCCUCUAUGUGGUUUCCGGCUAUCAGCUAAUAUAUUUGUUUGCACGGGCUUUGUACAUAGCUGAGUUAUAUUUUAAUGUGAUAAGUAUCAUGGCCAUGAUUAUCCAAUAUUUGAACUCGUUGGUGAAUUAGUUGAUUUUCAGGUUAUUUUGCACUGUUGCAGUUUCUCUGAACUUGGCGAUGUAGCUUGACUAUAUAAUGA